AUGAGUUCCCGCCAGCCAGUCCGUGCCCCUCUCCGGGCCUCAGUUUCCUCUCCUGUUAAGGAAGCCUUUGUGAGGAAACAGCUCCGCAACCUGCAGUAUCUGAUAAUCCGCCCGAUCCACACCCCUCGUGCCAGGCCCUUGCAUACUAAUGGUUGGAAGAGAUCCGGGAGCUCCGCCUCACCCCUCUAUCGGUGUCGGGACCAGAAGAACGACCUGGGGAAGAAGGGCUGUGGCCCCGCAGAAGCCACUCUCGGGUCUCGAAGGCAGCUGUGCAACUCCCAGGGUCGAGAGAUUGCGGCAGCCUCCCCACCUGACUUUGAAAUCCCGCUGCUUAGGCAGAUCACUGUUUCCUUCGCCUGUGUGAAGAGGAUGUCAAAGGAAGAAUUUGGAAACCCGUUUGUGGGUAUGGACCAGAAUCAGACUAGAGAGCUGAGUAUGGGUUUCUUCAGCUUUGGUCCCCAGGCUGGAUUUGGAUCUGGAUUUAGUGAAGGGGGAGUUGCUGUUGUGUAGGCUAGACUCAUGGCCAUCCUCUCUGGUCCCUAGGUGUACUCAGGCAGUGUGUGUGUGAAGGUAUCUCAGAUGCUUGGGAUAGGUUUGUUAGACAGGGCUUCACCCUGGAAGACUGAGUCACUAAUGGGAAUGACGAAGCAGAUCAGAACCAGACCGUUGAUCCAGGCAAGGUAGUCCACACCUGUAAUCCCAUCACUCCAAAGGCUGAAGCUGGAGCAUCUUCAGUUCCACCAGGCCUGCCUGGACUACACAAUGUAGGGGGCUCCCUAGAUAAAAGAUAGGAUGAAAGCCUCAUGGAGCUUUAUUAAAAAUUAACAAAGCUGGGCAUGGUGGUGCAUGCCUGUAAUCCCAGCACUUGGGAAGCUGAGGCAGGAGGAUCGCUGUGAGUUCAAGACUGCCUGGGCUACAUAGUGAGUUCCAGGUCAGUCUCAACAACAUAAUGUGAGACCUUGUUUCAAAAAAACAAACAAUAAGAGCUGGGGAUUUAGCUCAGUGGUGCUGCCACCUGCCUUGCUAAUGCAAGGUCCUGAGUUUGAUCCCCGGUACCAAAAAAACAAAAAUAAUAAUAAUAAUAAAACACCUCUAACCUCUGCAGCUAGACAAAAGCAGCAAUUAGAAAGACAGAGGCAACUGGGCUUGAGCAAUUAGGAAGACAAAAGUGAAGAAACUAAGUCUGGGAAGCUCCCUGGUAGCAUAAUAACAUAAGAAUCUGAAGUGGGCAACUCACCCGUCUGGGGCUUUCUCUCAAUAAAUUUU
RNAcentral lists this long non-coding RNA (1266 nucleotides) under Fukomys damarensis (Damara mole-rat). Its description in RNAcentral is "lncRNA (ENSFDAG00000024701.1)". The record is from RNAcentral. Lineage: Eukaryota; Metazoa; Chordata; Mammalia; Rodentia; Bathyergidae.